AUCCUAUUUUUCCCCUCACUUUUCUUCACCAGCCGCAUCUCUCUCUUUUUCUCUCCCUCGCCACAGAUCUGCACCUCCGCCACGCAGCCUCUCCCCCACCCUCGCCUCACGAUCUUAUAUAUUUUUUUUCAUCCCUCUUCUUCUCUCCCAAUAGCCUUUUUAUGUGCGAAUCCCAUGGUCAAGGGCAAUUAUGAAGAAGACGACGAAGCUUCUUCUCCAAUCCAUUUCUCCGCCGUUUUUUGGGAACAACUUCCAGCGUCACAUGACUCUGAUCCGACGUCGACGACCUCUUAGCGUUCAUGACGGUGUAACACCGGUGACGACGAGAUCCAGAUCGAGGCAAGCGAGAUUAUUUAGGUUUGUCUGUCAAAUUCCGUCAUUAUUUAAUUAUUUUUAUUUUGCAACUGAUUGAUUUUUUAGAUUAAUUGUUAUGAUGUUGUUGUCUUGAUUCAAUUGUCAAAUUACAAUAUGAUUCGAUUUCUAUCAUGUCUUAUUUGUUGAAUAAUUUUGUGAUUUGAGUCUUGCGUUUGUUUAAAUAGAAAAUCAGCAAUUUGUUGAUGUUAUUACAUAUUUUGGAUAUUAUUGUGUGUUCUGAUUUGAAUUUUUAUUGAAUUGUUUUGUGUUUGUCUUUAUGUAUGAAAUAGUUGCGGACAUCGUGAUUAUUUUAUGCAUAGCAUAUUCGAAAUCUACGAAGAUCUGUGGAAGAAAACUCAUAUGAUCGGAGUUGUAUCUUGGCCCUAUCUCUGGAAGAAAACUCAUAUCUCAGACAUCGCAAAGUAGAAGAAAAUUGGAGUUGUUUAUUUUGUAGUCGAU
This 813-nucleotide long non-coding RNA is filed under the name Erythranthe guttata (spotted monkey flower). RNAcentral's name for it is "long non-coding RNA (EGUT_LNC002402)". Lineage: Eukaryota; Viridiplantae; Streptophyta; Magnoliopsida; Lamiales; Phrymaceae. The record is from RNAcentral.